AUGCACGCUAGCGAUAGGCUUCACACAUGCCAGUCGAGGGGCAGCAUGGUCUUAGCUUGCUAAGACUGAUGGCGACCGGCGCACGGGUGCGUAACGCGUAUGCAACUUGCCUCACAGAGGGGGAUAACCCGUCGAAAGGCGGACUAAUACCGCGUACACUCCAUCUUGGGCAUCCAAGGUAGAGGAAAUGAAAUUCGCUGUGAGAUAGGCAUGCGUCCCAUUAGCUAGUUGGUGAGGUAACGGCUCACCAAGGCGACGAUGGGUAGGGGAACUGAGAGGUUGAACCCCCACACUGGUACUGAGACACGGACCAGACUCCUACGGGAGGCAGCAGUGAGGAAUAUUGGUCAAUGGGCGAGAGCCUGAACCAGCCAAGUCGCGUGAAGGAUGACUGUCUUAUGGAUUGUAAACUUCUUUUAUACGGGAAUAACAAGAGUCACGUGUGACUCCCUGCAUGUACCGUAUGAAUAAGCAUCGGCUAACUCCGUG
This 489-nucleotide ribosomal RNA is filed under the name uncultured bacterium. Its description in RNAcentral is "partial 16S ribosomal RNA". It matches the Rfam family "Bacterial small subunit ribosomal RNA", at positions 29 to 507 of the family's 1533-position model. The record is from RNAcentral.